ACGGAAGGCAGCAGUGGGGAAUAUUGCACAAUGGGGGAAACCCUGAUGCAGCGACGCCGCGUGAGUGAAGAAGUAUUUCGGUAUGUAAAGCUCUAUCAGCAGGGAAGAUAAUGACGGCACCUGACUAAGAAGCCCCGGCUAACUACGUGCCAGCAGCCGCGGUAAUACGUAGGGGGCAAGCGUUAUCCGGAUUUACUGGGUGUAAAGGGAGCGCAGGUGGUUCGGCAAGUCAGAAGUGAAAAUCCGGGGCUCAACCCCGGAACUGCUUUGAAACUGUCGGACUUGAGUGCUGGAGAGGUAAGUGGAAUUCCUAGUGUAGCGGUGAAAUGCGUAGAUAUUAGGAGGAGCACCAGUGGCGAAGGCGGCUUACUGGACAGCAACUGACACUGAGGCUCGAAAGCGUGGGGAGCAAACAGGAUUAGAUACCCUGGUA
RNAcentral lists this ribosomal RNA (433 nucleotides) under uncultured Lachnospiraceae bacterium. RNAcentral describes it as "bacterial SSU rRNA". It matches the Rfam family "Bacterial small subunit ribosomal RNA", at positions 341 to 792 of the family's 1533-position model. Lineage: Bacteria; Bacillati; Bacillota; Clostridia; Lachnospirales; Lachnospiraceae. The record is from RNAcentral.